RNAcentral lists this long non-coding RNA (5337 nucleotides) under Homo sapiens (human). Its description in RNAcentral is "non-protein coding lnc-APBB1IP-1:24". The record is from RNAcentral. Lineage: Eukaryota; Metazoa; Chordata; Mammalia; Primates; Hominidae.
AUUCGGUUGCCUUUCCUGAGGAGAGGUGGCAGGUGCUCAGCUCUGCAGGUGUCGGGGCAAGGAAGGACCAAGCGACCUGAGAAGAGCAGAGGUGCCCCAUGGGGACCACGCUGACUUGUCGCAUGUGCACCAAGGCCAGCCCCACUCAGGGCCCUCACAGGGCUUCUGCAGAGCCGUCCUGAGGCUCUGACAUCUAUGAGUCGGCGGCCAGCAGAGGCGCAGACCCCAGCACAGAGGAGCAGAGGCACCCGGAACAAGCUGUCCCUUAAUGCCACCCCAAGCGGGGCCAGCUCAGGAUGCGGUGUUUGGAGCAGUCCUGCAGCUCUGCGAUCCACGAGGUGGUGGUGGGAGUAGCGCCAGAGUCCACUGCUUUGGAGCCUGCCCCGUCUGAUUCAGGAGUCAUGACGACCAGAAGACGCCAAAAGGUAGGGAGACUACAGAUACCGCUUGGCCUUAGGAGCUCCUUUGGCAGUUGCUCACCCAUGGUUCCCCCCAGAGGCACCCACAGCCUAGGGCUCCUCCCUCCUGCCUCUAGUUUGCUUUCCUAGGCCCAGGCCCCAAGCAGGAGGACUUGCUCUGAUUCCACUCCCCAUCCAUUGUUCUUUCCCUGUUGCAUCCAGCUGGUUACUUUCCCUUGCCCUGUCCAAAUGCCCACUUCUGGGCCCUCUUCUUCUUUUCUUAGGCUGGUCAAAACUAAGACUUCAGAUUACAAAAUGUAUGCUACAGAUUUCAUUACGGUAGAGGAAAUAUGCGACAGCUCUUGUAUUUAAACUUAAGUAGCCACAUUGGGACUCCCAAUUUCAUAUUUUUCGUUGUAGAGCAGAGCUCUCUCUCCUAAAGUAAUGGCUGAGGGUUAGAGGUACUCUUCUUGAUUCUAAUAAUAAAAAAUGAUUUCUCAUAGAGACAGGGUCUCACUGUGUUGCCCAGGCUGGUCUCAAACCCCUGGCCUCAAGUGAUUCACUCACGUUGGCCUCCCGCUUUGUUGGGAUGACAGGCAAGAACCACCACACCUGGCCUUGGGAGCUGCUCCUGCUUUGUGUGUUUUGCCUGGUCUUCCUGCACAGCUGUCAGUAAGAUGCUCCUGCAGCAUAGUUCCAAAUCUUUCUGCACAAAUUUAGUGGAUGAUGUGAUUUUUUACAUGGAAUAGCCCCUUUAUUUAUUGCAGAGAAGCUGGACAAUUCACACUUAGUAACAUAUGGCCUAGCAAAUUUCAUUUCGUGAUCACCACACCUGUUAAAAGGUGAUGCUUGUGGUCUAAAUAUGCAGAUUCCUCAUCAUCCUCAAGGAAAAGGGAACCACUGCAAGAAAACCUGGGAGGGAGUUUAGGAUUGUCCUGAGGCAGUGCAAGCCACUGAAAUUCACACACAAGGGGUUAGAAAAGAGAAUCCACAUGUUCUCAUCUCUCCAUGUUCUGGGUAUAAUUUGGUCCUCCUUAAAUUGCACCAUUUUUGGCGUUAGAGAAAACUGGAUUUGAAUACCACUUCCAUCACUCUUUAUGAUGUGAUGGUGAAUGUGUUUUUAACUCAUCUGAGCCUCAGUUUGCUCAUCUAUAGAAGAUGUGAUUGUUGUAAGGCUUCCAUAAGGUAAGUGUGUAAAAACCAUGGCAAAAUGCUUGUAAUUUAAAAGAGAGGGUUAUUAUGAGGCUUCUAUAAGGUAAGUGUGUAAAAGUCUGGACAAAAUGUCUACUAUUUUGUAAGUGUUCAAUAUGUGGAUAAAGUGGAUUAUCUUUCUCUCCUUUUUAGACCACAAAUUUUUAGACCAAGUUUAUAAAAUUAGGGAUACUCCUAUUUCUUAGACAAUCAAACCAAUGAUCAGAAAGACUAGAUAAAUCACCAUAGUCACAAAGCAGUUCACAAUGCAUUUACUGGGUAAUUUCUAGUUAACAGUAGCAAUGAUGAUCACAUUGAAAAUCUUGUAUUUUGUGGUGGUUUUCUGUUACGUAAGCCUCUUGCUUUGUUGAAACCAUAGAUUCUAAGCUGCUUUGUCAAAGUGAUCAUUAGAAAAAUGUGAUGUAGUGUGUAAAUGUUAGAAAAUUUCUCCUGUUAGUCUUGCUAAUUUGAUUGAACAUGUGUGUCAUUUUCAAAAAUGUAAAUCAAAUAUAUGUGAAUGGGAUAUAUAUGUAUACAUAUGAAAUAUAACUUGAAUUAGAGAGUAGGCUUAGCUCAUGGCAAUGUUUUUUCUGAAAGCACCUGCAGAAAUCUCUCUUAUUUCUAGUUUGUUGAUGUUUCAGAGAUUAUGGAGAAAUGGCGGUUCUAUGAAUCUCAGACACUGCAUGAGGCAGAUUUGGUUUCAGUAAUUUUAGCAUCAUUCAUUGUAAGGUGAUGAUCCCUAGGAACUUCAUCACAGUGAGAAACCUGAAAGGUCCUAGCAGCCAGCAUGAAUGAAAGGUGGGGCGGGGCUGCUGGCAGGGCAGGGCCUUGUGAGCCAUAUGCCUGUGCUCUCAAGUUCCAGGAUUGUGGGGAUGCAUGCAGGGGAUUCUGGACCUGAUUGUUUCCUCUGAACCAGGAUGUGGUCUGGUUGGCAGGGCAACUGGCCUUCACUUGGUGGCCUUCAGUGGAUGCCCACAUUGGUUGCCUUCGGUUAGUGCACUCAGUUGGUACCCUCAGUUGUUUCUCUUCAGUUGGUGGUCUUCAAUUGUUGGGCAGUGGCAGAAGGAGGAUGAAUCCGUUUGUGCUCUCUCCUCCCCCAGUCACAGCUCUCAGGCUUGUUGCCCCCAGGCCCUCCUGAUUGUUUACUCUGAACCAGGAUGCGGUCUGGUUGGCAGGGCAACUGGCCUUCACUUGGUGGCCUUCAGUGGGUGCCCUCAUUGGUUGCCUUCGGUUAGUGCCCUCAGUUGGUACCCUCAGUUGUUUCUCUUCAGGUGGUGGUCCUCAGUUGGUGGUCUUCAGUUGUUGGGCAGUGGUGGAAGGAGGAUGAAUCUGUGCUCUCUCCUGCCCCAGUCACAGCUCUCAGGCUUGUUGCAUCCAGGCCUUUCUAAAAUAAACUGGACAGGUUGGCAGGAUUUUUUAGCAGACAAGUCAGCUCAGAGUAUGGGGGUGAUAUGGGGUGCAUGCUGCUAGCGCAGUGCCACCCCGUGGCCCAGGACUGCUUGUGCUAGCAAUGCUUUUGCCAGCAAGAGACGAUAGGUGUUGAGCUCUGCACACUUGGGGGCAACCAAAGGCCCAAGCUGCCCAAGAAGAGCAGGAGUGCCCCAUGGGGACCACAUUGAACUGUCGCAUGUGCACCAAAGCCAGCCCCAGUCAGGGCCGGCACAAGGGUUGUGCAGAGCCAGCCUGUGGCUCUGACGUCUAUGAGUGUGCAGACAGCGCAGACGCAGCCCGCAAUAUACAGGAGCAGAGUUGCCCUGAACACGCUGUCCCACAAUGCCAACCACAAAUGGGGCCAGCUAAGGGUGUGGUGGGAGAAGCCAUCCUGCAGCUCUGAGAUCCACAAAGUGGAGAUAGCAGUAGCACCAACUCCACUGCUUUGGAGGCUGCCCAGUCGAAUUUGGGAGCCAGCGAGGGACCUGACAGCAGCACAUUGGACACCAGAAGACACCCAAAGGUAGGGAGGUGGCAGAUACUGCUUAAGUUCAGGAGCUCCUCUGGCCAUUGCUGACCCAAAAUUCCCCCAGAGGCAUCCACAGCCUGGGGCUCCUUCCUCCUGCCUGGAGUUUGCUUUCCUAUGCCCAGGCCCCAAGCAGGAGGACUGGCUCUGCCUCGAGUCCUCACCCCUUCUUCUUUCCCUGCUGUGUCCAGCUGGUUUCUUACUUUCCUCCUACCUACCCCAAUGCUCAGUUCUGUUUCCUCUUCUUCUUCCCCCAGGCUGGCUGAAAACUAAGUUUCAAAAUACAAAAUGCGUGCUACAGAUUUCAUUGCUGUAGACGAAAUAUCUGACAGCUUUUCUAUUUAAACUCUGGUUGUUCUCUUCAUUUCUUUAAACAUUAGAAUAAUUAAGCCUCAUAAUAGAUGUGCCUUUGUAACUUGAAAGUAUGACCCUCAAUUUUCACAAUUAAAAAAAUUUAAUUUUUCUUUUCAUAAAUUUUUGGCACAGGUAGUAUUUAGUUAUUGAGUAACUCCUUUAGUGGAGAUUUGUGAGAUUUUGUUGCACCCAUCACCCAAGCAGUACACAUGGAAUCCAAUUUGUAGUCUCUUAUCUUUCUCCCCCUUCCCGCGGUUUUCCCCUGAGUAUCAUUCUUUUUUUUUGAGACUGAGUCUUAUUCUGUCACCCAGGCUGGAAUGCUACGUCGCGAUGUCAGCUCGCUGCAACCCUUGCUUCCUGAGUUCAUGUGAUCCUCCUGCUUCAGCCUCCUGAGUAGCUGGGAUUAGAGGGAGAGGAGUGGAAGACCUUCUGGUGUGGGCUGGGCAGCAAUUCACUUGAAGGAGAAACAGCCCGGGUGUGGAGAGGCGGCCAUCCUUGGCGGGAUCCUUUCUAAGGAGCCGAGAAAUCAACGUAGAGCUUCCUCUAUCUGAUUCUCUAACAACUGCAGACCUUCCAUGAGUCAAGCUUUGUGUCAAAAGGACAAAUUAAAAGGACCUAUAAAUGGCACCACCCAGCCCAAUGGACAGAUGCCCCAGGCUGCAGAUUCUGUCAGUGCUGUUCUCGAAGAGGCCCAGGCACAUGCUGAAACAUGGAAGGUAAAACCAGCAAGCAGCUGGCAUACAUUCCACCCAGCCGUCCCCCAGGAGAAUUGCUUGAGCUCCGGAGUUCCAGACCAGCCUGGGCAACAGAACAAGGGCUCAUCUCUACUAGAAAUCAAAAAAUUAGCCAGGAUAAGAAGCCAGCCCUCGGGAACCACCAGGAGCCAGGAGCACCCCCGGCCCCCCAAGGCCCCAAGUCCAGCCUGCCCCACCCCCUCCGGUGCAGAGGUCCUGUGACACCAGUGGCAGCCCCGCCACACCCCCCAAGGCCAAGGGCACAGGCAGCGUGGUCUUCCCCGCCCCGCCCGACUACUUCCUGCCGCCACAGCCACCAAUGCCGCCCCUGGAGUACCCAGAGCUCCCGCUGCCGUCCCCGGACUUCAUGGAGACCCCCCUGGACUUCGUGCUCCCUCCCCUCGCUGUCGCCAAGAGGCCUCCUAUGCCCCACCCCCCCAACAGGCACGAAGCAUCAAUGUUCACAAGCAGCAAAUGAAUAAAAGUUAAACGUUCUUCCUACUGCAUUUCUAUAAGGAUUAUUGGGUCAGUCGAUCUUGAGGUCAACACUAUAAUUAAAACUAGCUUUCACCAUCCCAUGCCUUCUUAAGUCUUGGUGACCUUAGAUUUUCAGCUCUACCUCUGCGACCUUCAGAAUUUUCAGGAAAAUAGAGGAAAACGAGAAAACAUGACAAUCUCUUUCUCUGAGAUUCCUGUUGCUUGA